CCAAAAGAAGCCGCCGACAGGAAAGCACUCGCUUCUAUGUAGCUGGCUGGGCCCUCCCGCGCGGGAAAAUAGCGGCGGCGGCGGCGACGCAACACAAAACUUCUUUCGGAUCUCGCCGCCACGCACCCCACCUAUACAAAGUCACGGGGUGCGUCAGCCAAUAAGGAAGGACGCAGAGCGGCGUUGAAAGCACAGAAGACAUCGAGGCUGCCUAAAUGGAUAUAAGAAACUGGUUCUAAAAAGGCAGAAAACCUCUCAAACGGAAAAAGGAUCAAGAUGACAGUGGAAGUGGAAGCAAUGAUGGUGAUGAAGAUGGAACUAAACUGACCGAACCAGCACCCAGCUAGAAUCAGCAAGUGUGAUAUAGAGCAUCAUAAAAGUGUUAUGCAUGGAACCAGACCUUUUUACUGUAGUCCUUGCUGUGAUGCACAAUUGAGACAUUUUCACUGUCUUGCCAUGCUGUCCUCAACCCUAUUAAUUCAACCAUACCAAUGUGCUUCAGGUUAUGAAUAUUAAAUGUAACCUGUGAAACUAAUUAUAACCAAAUUUCAAGUGAAUGUUCAAUAUAAUAUUUAACAGGAUACCGUCAAGAGAGCAGCAUGCAUUGUACAGAAACACAUUUCUUAUGCUGGUUGGAAUCACUGUGCACUGUAACAUGAUUCCCUAAUAAAUAAAAAUAAAUUGAAUUUUA
This is a long non-coding RNA of Lacerta agilis (Sand lizard), 691 nucleotides long. RefSeq lists it as uncharacterized. NCBI's taxonomy places the organism in Eukaryota, Metazoa, Chordata, Lepidosauria, Squamata, Lacertidae. The transcript has 3 exons. The record is from RefSeq and is a predicted model, not a curated record.